AUGCUUCUCCUAAAGACUAAGCCAUGCAUGCCUUCGAAUAAGAGGAAGCAAUUCUCUCUGAAUCUGCGAACGGCUCCGCAAACCAGUUGUAAACUAUAGCAAGCAAGCUCAGGGUCGGCUCUCGCGGGCUGGUUCUGGGCGAUAUGGAUAACCCUGGUAAUUCUGAGGCUAAUACAUGACCGCAAAACUUGGAGGACUGGCCUCGGCUGGGAAUCCGGGGGAUGUGCGAUUUAAGCUUGGUAUUUCUGGGAAGGGGCGCACGUUCAGACCACACUAAAAAGGUCGGGUCCCUUCGGGGGCCUGUCCCAGUGGCUCUUGCUGUGUGCUUCUGACCUAUCAACUAGACGGCAGCGUAACGGACAUGCUUUGGUGACAACGGGUACAGAGGAUUAGGGUUCGAUCCUGGAGAGUGGGCCUGAGAGAUUGCUCAUACUUCUAAGGAAGGCAGCAGGCGCGCAACGUUCCCCUUGGGCAAUGCCCGAGGGCGUUAGGGGACAUAUGAA
RNAcentral lists this ribosomal RNA (503 nucleotides) under Colloderma oculatum. RNAcentral describes it as "SSU rRNA". It matches the Rfam family "Eukaryotic small subunit ribosomal RNA", at positions 28 to 483 of the family's 1831-position model. Lineage: Eukaryota; Evosea; Eumycetozoa; Stemonitida; Stemonitidae. The record is from RNAcentral.